Molecule: long non-coding RNA, 1933 nt
Organism: Malania oleifera
Lineage: Eukaryota; Viridiplantae; Streptophyta; Magnoliopsida; Santalales; Ximeniaceae
Exons: 2
Source: RefSeq, a predicted model, not a curated record
AAUUGUUUUCUCUCUCCCCACUUUUUCCUUCACCCCUCGUCACUCCCAAAAUGCCCUAGACGAAAGCCCCCUCCCUCACCUUCUCCUCUCUUCCAGUUCGUGCCCUCCCUUUCGAUUAUUAUACUUCUGGUGUGUUCGACCUGCUUAUGGUUUUUGUUACGAUUCAUUUUCUGGAGUUGUAGUCUUUGCACUUCUGAGUUUGUCCCCAUACUUCUUCCCCCAUCUUCUGCCCUAUGGAAGGUUAAUGCUAAACCACUCCUCAUUGCUGGUGAUUUGAUUCCAAGACUUGGCGACAAAGACUUGCAAUGAGGAGAAGGCUACGACAACAGAGAUGUUCCACAGAAGGAGAUGCCAAUGCAUAGAGUAGGCGAGACGUGCCGGCGAAGAAGAAAAUUGGUGCGAAGUGAAGACCAAAAAUAUGGCCAAGCCAAAGGCAGUGGCGAAACAAAAACGAAGGAAAAUUUUCCUUCAAAAAAUGAAGAAACUCCAGCUCGUAUAAAAGACGAAUUCUUUAAUUGAAUUGAUAACGCGAAAUAAGAACCACUAGAACUUGACGCUCAAAAUAAAAUACUUGGCGUGGAUCAAAGACAACGCCGUCUAUUUAAAAGAAAUUUUAGAAGAAGAAGAAGAAGAAGACAAAGUAAAUCAAUUUGCAGUAUUAACUGAAAUUUAUCGAACACUCCGAGGCAAGAUCUGAAGUUGCUUCAGAUGAAGAGGUCAACUGUCUCUGAGGAGGAGUGACGAAACGCGGCAUAGCCGGAACGAGGGAAUGGUUGACUAGAAGAUCAGACCAAAUACGAGUGAGCCAGAGACGAAACGAAGAUGACGACAUUGGCUAGCAAAUAAAACUAGAGAUGAGAGUAGAGAGCUUCAAAGUCACUCUGAAGUGCGAAGCUCCAGAUCGGCAAUCAGUGCAACUAAAAAAAUCAAAGAAAACAGAGAUACCGAGUCGUAUUCUAACACGGGUGCCGGAAUAAGGACACCAGAGCCUGAGAAGUAGCCAAAAAACCCAAGGCCGCAAGAGGACCUGUAGAGGAAGACGACAAGAAGCUCGACGGAGAAACCAAGAACUCUUCGCAGGGAACAAUGACAUGCAAGAGUGAUUCUUGCUUGGAAAAUUGAAGCUGAAAAACAAGGAUAUUUUACCCAAGAUGAGUGGCGAAGAUACUUGAAGGCUCUGCAAGUUGGCUUCCUCAACAAGUUAAAGAAAUCACUUCUUGAAACUGAGAGAGAGUGGAAAAUGCUCGCGAGAGGAUCUUUUCGGAGGCAAUGAAAAUAGGCAAUUUUGAACUUCAAAUUGGAAAGAGUUGAAGAUUUCAAAGAGUACGAACUCUGCAACAACGUUAUGAUCUACGAUCAAUGAAAUACAGAAGGUAUAUUCGAGUUUUUCUUCAUUUCUCCAAAAAAAUGGUCGGGAUUUGCAAGCAAAUCGCGAGACCAGAACAAUCAACGGAGCCAGAUGAGCAAUGCUCUGAGAGGUGAACACCGACUUGCACAUACAAAUUGUGAUGAUCUGAGAUAGCUUCAGAGAGAAGCGAGUCGCACUCCAAGAUUCAGCGAUCCAGCAAGAUUCAGAGAUGAAAAGGCAUAAAAAGAAGAAACGAAAAGUAGAUAUGCAAAGAACGAUCGACAAACAGCGGGGAGAAGUGCGUUCGGAUGGACAAGCUCGAGAGACUAAGCGAAAUCAGUGAUUCGUACGAUCCAGUUGCCGAGUUUAAGGAGCCAGAGAACAAGCGAUCUUCCGAUGAAGCCUCGGUGGCUGAAGACAACGCAGGUCUUGUGGCUUUCAUUCCUAGCGACGAAGAACGGUUUGUCAAUCGCCAUUCGCAAGUGAAGAGAGAGAACCACAGAGAGCAGUAGCGGAAAAUUGCUCUGAUACCAUGUUAAAUAAAUAAAUUAUAUAUAUUCCGGAAUUGAUGAAAAGUUCUCUUUA